RNAcentral lists this ribosomal RNA (800 nucleotides) under uncultured bacterium. Its description in RNAcentral is "bacterial SSU rRNA". It matches the Rfam family "Bacterial small subunit ribosomal RNA", at positions 8 to 798 of the family's 1533-position model. The record is from RNAcentral.
AGAGUUUGAUCAUGGCUCAGAUUGAACGCUGGCGGCAGGCCUAACACAUGCAAGUCGAACGGUAACAGGAAGCAGCUUGCUGCUUUGCUGACGAGUGGCGGACGGGUGAGUAAUGUCUGGGAAACUGCCUGAUGGAGGGGGAUAACUACUGGAAACGGUAGCUAAUACCGCAUAACGUCGCAAGACCAAAGAGGGGGACCUUCGGGCCUCUUGCCAUCGGAUGUGCCCAGAUGGGAUUAGCUAGUAGGUGGGGUAAAGGCUCACCUAGGCGACGAUCCCUAGCUGGUCUGAGAGGAUGACCAGCCACACUGGAACUGAGACACGGUCCAGACUCCUACGGGAGGCAGCAGUGGGGAAUAUUGCACAAUGGGCGCAAGCCUGAUGCAGCCAUGCCGCGUGUAUGAAGAAGGCCUUCGGGUUGUAAAGUACUUUCAGCGGGGAGGAAGGGAGUAAAGUUAAUGCCUUUGCUCAUUGACGUUACCCGCAGAAGAAGCACCGGCUAACUCCGUGCCAGCAGCCGCGGUAAUACGGAGGGUGCAAGCGUUAAUCGGAAUUACUGGGCGUAAAGCGCACGCAGGCGGUUUGUUAAGUCAGAUGUGAAAUCCCCGGGCUCAACCUGGGAACUGCAUCUGAUACUGGCAAGCUUGAGUCUCGUAGAGGGGGGUAGAAUUCCAGGUGUAGCGGUGAAAUGCGUAGAGAUCUGGAGGAAUACCGGGUGGCGAAGGCGGCCCCCUGGACGAAGACUGACGCUCAGGUGCGAAAGCGUGGGGAGCAAACAGGAUUAGAUCCCUGGGAGCCAC